Centrocercus urophasianus (Greater sage-grouse) is the source of this 3942-nucleotide long non-coding RNA. RefSeq lists it as uncharacterized. Lineage: Eukaryota; Metazoa; Chordata; Aves; Galliformes; Phasianidae. The record is from RefSeq and is a predicted model, not a curated record. The transcript is spliced from 3 exons.
CCUCCUCAUCAGCAGGUACUCCUCGAUGUAGUUGAUGAAGAUGUCGAACUCCCCCAUGGCUUUGUAGAUCCCGUUCUCAUCCAUCUGCAGGUGAAAGGCAGCCCGUGAUUCAUCGGCUGCACGCGCGGUGCAGAAUCCCCAGCCGUGCUCUGCUUCCACCGAAACCUCCGCUCUCUCCCCACCCACUGAAGGAACGCGGCGGCUGCUCUGAGCUGAGCUGCGCUGCGUCGGCACAUCUUUGGCACCCUCUGAGUGAAGAAGCGGUGCUGCAGAGGUGAGAGGCGGUGCGUUAACUCAGGGCUGUUCCUUCCUGCUGCUCCUGGGGUGACUCAGCCCAUGCUGCGUGGUCACAGCAGCUCCAGCAGUGAGGAUGCCAGUGCAUGCAGGAAGACCCAGGGACCAUUCCUGCAGUACAGAGCCCACUCACACAGCGCCUCAUCGUCGUCUUCAGGUUCAGCAGCAUGCUGCCCAGGUCGCCCAUGCUCUGCUGGUGGCUGGUGCUGGUCUUCAUGGCGCGGGGCAGAACCUCAUCUGUGUAGAAGCGCAGCAUCUCUGACACUGACUGGCAGCCAAAGUUCCCCUGGAGGGGAGGAGAGAGUAUGCUGAUGGCAAUGCUUUUGCAAUCUGAACCCCAGCAGCACUGCUCAGAGGCUGGGGAUGAGUGUGCAUCAGCCCUGCUGCAGGCACCUUGCUGGAAGGAAGGUCCAUGUGACAGUGGGAAAUAUCCCGAAUUAGGAUCAUUUUCCUUUGGUGGAAGGAUGCAGAAGGGCAGUGGACUUGCACUGAAAUAGUAAUCCUUACCUUAAAUUCAUCCAGCAGUUCAGAGCUGAGCAGUUGGAUGUUAAGUUCGUCGUCUCUGGAUUGCUGUAGGAGAAUGCAAUAGAAGAAGUGCUUUAUGCAGGCAGCUGUGUUUUCCUCUUUGCCUCUUUCGAGGAUUGCUCUGCCUGCUUGCAUUUAUGCUUUAACCCCACUGCUGGCAUCCCUUGAGUCCCCUUUUGCAGGGGCUAUCUGUUCCUCCAACUCCUGAGCCCAGGCUGAGCUGAUGCUGCGCAGAGCAUCACCCCAUGGCACCAAAGUGCUCAACAGCUUUUCUGAGAGGUAAGAAACUUUCAUUCCUGAUAUUAAUUGAAAGACUUGCAGCAGGCUUGAAGUCUUAAAUCCCACUGAUCGUGUUAAUUUAAUAACUAAUACAAGCCAUGCCACUCAUCUGGCUUUUAAUCCGGAGAGUUAUGUUCCCUUAUUGCUAAAGCAUGCUGGCAAUAGCUGAAGGAGGAACCCUGGGGUGAGCACCCAUCCCUGCGGCCCCGCAGCACCAGUGGGUGCUCAGUGCUGCUCUGUAUGCAAAGCACUGAGAUUUGUCACAAGGCAAUCACUCAGGCUUCUGUGGCUCUGUCAGAGAAAGUCUGUAGCAAAAGGUUUCCCUUUUCAGACAGUGCUGGCUUCAGUGAGGCUGGAGCUCAUUGCCCUGAAGAAUUUAAUCCCUUGCUGCUAAGUCAGUGCAUGAUUUGCUCUGCAACUUUUAGGGGGAAGUCUGCACAAUAAGGCUUGCAUUAUGAAAUCUCUGGAGUUCAUUAUAACUAAAACCAGGAAGAAAAGCCUUUCGUGUUAUCUCUCAGCAAGCAGUGAAACCAGAGGGCAGCCCAUAGCGCAGCACACGGCCAAAUCUCUUCUGCCCGGAGCAACCUGCUGCCCCCUCAUCCAAACCACUCAACUCUGCAAAAUAACCCCACGAAACAGAAGGAGGUGUCAUACUUACAAAAUAGUCCUUGAUUUCCUCAAACUUCACCCUCAGCUCCCGCAGCCGGAUGGGCAGCAGCUCGGAGGAGUGCAGGCAGGUGGACUCCAAGCAGUGGGCAGGCAGGGUGCAAGCAGCCAGCAGCAGCAGCAGGGCCUGGCAGCAGUUCUGCAUCCUGGGGUGUUUAUUCUGCUGCUGCCCUUGGUUGGGUGCCACUGGAGGGCAAAGCACAGCUCUGCAGACUUCACCUUGAUGGAGCCCCUCAUUUAUACUCUCAAAGCAUCUCAGUUUCCUUUCCCCGCUUCCUGAAGAGUGAUAUUAAGGGUAUAAGUCACUCACUCAAUAAACCCAAAUGUCACUUGGGUUUCCCGUCAACUUUGGGUUUCCUGUUCUCUUGACCCCCCUCCCCUCCUCACUACCCAUCAAAUCUUUUGUGCUUAGACUCUGCAUUUUUUUUUCUAUUGCUUGCUUCUUGUAAAUUUAAAUGAGGCGACAGAUACAAAGCGAAGAAGGAAAGGUGCUGUGUGAGCUCACAUCUGCAUUUCACAGCCACUUUUUAUUUUUAGAAGAAUGCUCUGCUCUCGGGGGAAGAAGUGUUUCUAUAUUUAAGUCUCUCUACAGGUUGACACCUCUGAUCCCCAGCACUGAGCAUCACCCAGCAGCACUGCGUUCAGUGAACCUGUCCAGGUGCUCCUCACUCCAGCAUUGCUCUUCCCCAACCUGCUCACACACUGUCACCUCCUUUAGCACUGUGAUGCAAGCAUGCAACACUCUGAAUCUUUCUUUCUUUUUCUUUUUAAUGGAGUUAAAACAAAGUCAGUGUGAUGCUCCAGCUCUCAGCCGAUGUUUUACCCAGGCAUUACCACGGUCAGCCCUGUGCACAGCGCAUGGAGACACAAUGGGGACUUGGGCUUCUGGUGUCAGUUCUGCAUGCUUCCCUGCUAGUAAUGAUAGCAACUAUCACUUUCUUGAAGUGUUUCCUAGCAGCACGUGCUGAGUUUUAUUGCACUGUAUCAUGGGACCCACUCUUUGCACAUUGAUGUGCUCUGCUCACGUGUCCAAGCUGAACACGAAACCUUUUCUUUCUUGUUCUUGCAUGCAAUUUUGUUUCCAAGAAAUGGACAACAAUCCCAGCUGAGCCCCCAGCUCCAUGAACCGGGUGUGCUCUCCUCCCCACUGAUAAAAGUGACCAUUGCAGUGCUGAAGAUAUCUCCACUGACGUCUCUCUUCCGUUUUCCUUUCUUUCAUGCUCUCUUUCUGCACAACUUUAUACUUGUUUCCUUUUGGUGAUAAGGCUGUUAUCCAAGAAAGAGAAAGCAGAGAUUAACUUGGCCUUUCUGGGGGCUUCUUUGAAAGCUUUUCUGCUAUCUGGAAGUGGCAUUCUCUUCAUGCUGCCUCCAGCUUAUUGCCUGGGACAAAUCACUCCAAUUCUCAUUUCUUUCACUGCCCUGAGCCUCCUUCAGUGUGAAUUUGCAGACCUCUGUGAAGGAGCGUGUUACAACUGACGCUGGAAAAAUGCAAAGCAUUCCUUAUACCAUAUAUUUAGAUUUCAUUUAGAAAAUGAAAGAGAGGAAAGUUUUGUGUUAGAACAUGCAUGAGUAAGGGCAGAUGAAUUAUGUAUUUGUAAUCAGGUGAGGUAACUUCUCUAAACACAGCACUGAGGGGUUUUGCCUGGUUUGUUUUCCUUCUGUUGGUGUUGCACCUUUCCCAAGGGCCGGGAGGGAGAGUUUUCCCAGUGAAUCACUGCAUGGGCACAGAACUUCUAUCUGAAUCAGAGCACGUCAUGGGGACCGUGCCCUGCUUUUCUUCCCCUGUUUGCGUGCCUCGGCGCGGUUUCUUCCCUUGACCACCAGCAAUGAGGUUUGGAGGCCAUGAGGAAGGAGAAGGGCAGCAGCUGACUCAGACCAAAAUGUGUGGUGUUAAACAUAACCCGUGUCACUGGUGCUGUCUCACAGCUCUGUGCUUUCACCCCAAGCUGCAAGAUCUUAUUUUGCAUCCACUCCAAGCUGCCUCAGGUUGGUAGAGCCGUGCAAGCAGGACCCGGUGGCCUCUGAGUUCCAUGGGGAAACCAAAAAAACAAAACCUGACGUGGCAGCACCUGGAUCUCACCCCGUUCUCUGCGUAUGCGCAGCUGGGGCCAAAGCGGUGAUUUCAAGCCCCCUGGGUCGGUGCAGUUUGGGGAACCCUGCUUGCAGACCGGGCCACGC